Molecule: ribosomal RNA, 446 nt
Filed under: uncultured bacterium
Lineage: Bacteria
Description: bacterial SSU rRNA
Rfam family: Bacterial small subunit ribosomal RNA
Source: RNAcentral
UUCCAGACUCCUACGGGAGGCAGCAGUGGGGAAUAUUGCACAAUGGGGGAAACCCUGAUGCAGCGACGCCGCGUGAGUGAAGAAGUAAUUCGUUAUGUAAAGCUCUAUCAGCAGGGAAGAAAAUGACGGUACCUGAGUAAGAAGCCCCGGCUAACUACGUGCCAGCAGCCGCGGUAAUACGUAGGGGGCAAGCGUUAUCCGGAUUUACUGGGUGUAAAGGGAGCGUAGACGGCAGGGCAAGUCUGGAGUGAAAGGCAGGGGCCCAACCCCUGGACUGCUCUGGAAACUGUCCGGCUGGAGUGCAGGAGAGGUAAGUGGAAUUCCUAGUGUAGCGGUGAAAUGCGUAGAUAUUAGGAGGAACACCAGUGGCGAAGGCGGCUUACUGGACUGUAACUGACGUUGAGGCUCGAAAGCGUGGGGAGCAAACAGGAUUAGAUACCCGAGUA